GACGAACGCUGGCGGCGUGCCUAAUACAUGCAAGUAGAACGCUGAAGGAGGAGCUUGCUUCUCUGGAUGAGUUGCGAACGGGUGAGUAACGCGUAGGUAACCUGCCUGGUAGCGGGGGAUAACUAUUGGAAACGAUAGCUAAUACCGCAUAAUAUUGACUAUUGCAUGAUAGUCAGUUGAAAGGUGCAACUGCACCACUACCAGAUGGACCUGCGUUGUAUUAGCUAGUUGGUGGGGUAACGGCUCACCAAGGCGACGAUACAUAGCCGACCUGAGAGGGUGAUCGGCCACACUGGGACUGAGACACGGCCCAGACUCCUACGGGAGGCAGCAGUAGGGAAUCUUCGGCAAUGGACGGAAGGCUGACCGAGCAACGCCGCGUGAGUGAAGAAGGUUGUCGGAUCGUAAAGCUCUGUUGUAAGAGAAGAACGAGUGUGAGAGUGGAAAGCUCACACUGUGACGGUAUCUUACCAGAAAGGGACGGCUAACUACGUG
RNAcentral lists this ribosomal RNA (495 nucleotides) under uncultured bacterium. RNAcentral describes it as "partial 16S ribosomal RNA". It matches the Rfam family "Bacterial small subunit ribosomal RNA", at positions 28 to 507 of the family's 1533-position model. The record is from RNAcentral.